AACGAACGCUGGCGGCAUGCCUAACACAUGCAAGUCGAACGAGACCUUCGGGUCUAGUGGCGCACGGGUGCGUAACGCGUGGGAAUCUGCCCUUGGGUUCGGAAUAACAGUUGGAAACGACUGCUAAUACCGGAUGAUGACGUAAGUCCAAAGAUUUAUCGCCCAAGGAUGAGCCCGCGUAGGAUUAGCUAGUUGGUGAGGUAAAGGCUCACCAAGGCGACGAUCCUUAGCUGGUCUGAGAGGAUGAUCAGCCACACUGGGACUGAGACACGGCCCAGACUCCUACGGGAGGCAGCAGUGGGGAAUAUUGGACAAUGGGCGAAAGCCUGAUCCAGCAAUGCCGCGUGAGUGAUGAAGGCCUUAGGGUUGUAAAGCUCUUUUACCCGGGAUGAUAAAGACAGUACCGGGAGAAUAAGCGCCGGCUAACUCCGUG
Molecule: ribosomal RNA, 433 nt
Filed under: uncultured bacterium
Lineage: Bacteria
Description: partial 16S ribosomal RNA
Rfam family: Bacterial small subunit ribosomal RNA
Source: RNAcentral